RNAcentral lists this ribosomal RNA (408 nucleotides) under uncultured bacterium. RNAcentral describes it as "partial 16S ribosomal RNA". It matches the Rfam family "Bacterial small subunit ribosomal RNA", at positions 28 to 526 of the family's 1533-position model. The record is from RNAcentral.
GACGAACGCUGGCGGCGUGCUUAACACAUGCAAGUCGAACGAAGUGGCGAACGGGUGAGUAACGCGUAAUAAACCUGCCCUUCAUAGGGGGACAACAGUUGGAAACGACUGCUAAUCCCGAAUACUGAAGGAGGGGUUUGCGUCGAAAUAGUUAGUUGACGGGCUAACGGCCCACCAAGUCGAUGAUCAGUAGCCGGUCUUAGAGGAUGAACGGCCACAUUGGGACUUAGACACGGCCCAGACUCCUACGGGAGGCAGCAAUGGGGAAUCUUCCGCAAUGGACGAAAGUCUGACGGAGCAACGCCGCGUGAGUGAUGAUGGCCUUCGGGUUGUAAAGCUCUGUUAAUCGGGACGCAGUACCGGAAUAGAAAGCCACGGCUAACUACGUGCCAGCAGCCGCGGUAAUUC